RNAcentral lists this ribosomal RNA (1031 nucleotides) under Cephalobus sp. JB-65. Its description in RNAcentral is "eukaryotic LSU rRNA". It matches the Rfam family "Eukaryotic large subunit ribosomal RNA", at positions 76 to 938 of the family's 3401-position model. The record is from RNAcentral. Lineage: Eukaryota; Metazoa; Nematoda; Chromadorea; Rhabditida; Cephalobidae.
UCCCUCAGUAACGGCGAGUGAACGGGGAAGAGCCCAGCGCUAAAUCUUGCUGCUCUAACGGGUAGCGAGAGGUGUAGCGUAUAGUAGGCGAUUUUCCUUGAUGGCUGUCGACUUAAAUUCUCCUUGACUGGGGUUCCAGAGAAGGUGAAAGGCCUGUUCAGUCGAUGGACGUCUUGGAUUCCGCUCUACUUGGAGUCGGGUUGUUUGGGAACGCAGCCCAAAUUAGGUGGUAAACUUCAUCUAAGGCUAAAUACGACCACGAAACCGAUAGCAAACAAGUACCGUGAGGGAAAGUUGAAAAGUACUUUGAAGAGAGAGUUCAAGAGGACGUGAAACCGGUAGGAUGGAAACGGAUAGAGCCAACGAACAAGCCCGUAUUCAGCUAGUCGACUGCGUGCUGCAUGUCUAUGUACCCGAUCAGGGUGCAUGGGCGUGUGACGUAUGCGGUUGGCUAGUGCAUUUGCGGGUGAUGUGCGCUGAGGCGUGUGGUGGUGUCCUGCAAACCGUCGGGAGAGGACUUGCCUUCGGGCUUGAAACCUACAGGCGGGGAGUAGGGUUGCUGCUGCACGUAGAUGAAACGAUUAGGUGGAUUCGUGCUGCCGUGCUGUCGGGCUAGCUACUUGGUCGGUCGCAUGCGACUAGGCCUCGUUGGUUGGUCUUGGUGGUGCGGUAGUGACCUGGUCGACCCUCGGUGUAAAAGUUGGUCAUCUCUCCGACCCGUCUUGAAACACGGACCAAGGAGUCUAGCGUAUACGCGAGUCAUUGGGUGGAAAACCCAUAGGCGCAAUGAAAGUGAAGGUCUCUUUAUGAGGCUGAUAUGCGAUCCGUUGCACUUCGGUGCAGCGGAGCAGCAUAGCCCCGUCUCGACUGCUUGCAGUGGGGCGGAGGUAGAGCGUAUUCGCUGGUACCCGAAAGAUGGUGAACUAUGCCUGAGCAGGAUGAAGCCAGAGGAAACUCUGGUGGAGGUCCGAAGCGCUUCUGACGUGCAAAUCGAUCGUCUGACUUGGGUAUAGGGGCGAAAGACUAAUCGA